ACGCUGGCGGCGUGCCUAAGACAUGCAAGUCGAACGGGACCUUCGGGUCUAGUGGCGAACGGCGGAGUAAUACAUAAGUAACUUGCCUCGAAGAUCGGGAUAGCCGCGGGAAACUGCGAGUAAUACCGGAUGUGACAGUGGGGGGCAUCCCCUGCUCAUUAAAUGGUUUUUCGCUUCGAGAGCGGCUUAUGACACAUCAGCUAGUUGGUGGGGUAAAGGCCUACCAAGGCGACGACGUGUAGGGGGUCUGAGAGGAUGAUCCCCCCGAGUGGGACUGAGGCACGGCCCACACACCUACGGGUGGCAGCAGUUGGGAAUCUUGCACAAUGGGGGAAACCCUGAUGCAGCGACGCCGCGUGGAGGAAGAAGGGUCUAGGCUCGUAAACUCCUUUUUCAGGGAAAGACUUAGGACGGUACCCUGAGAAUAAGCUCCGGCUAACUACGUG
Molecule: ribosomal RNA, 446 nt
Filed under: uncultured bacterium
Lineage: Bacteria
Description: bacterial SSU rRNA
Rfam family: Bacterial small subunit ribosomal RNA
Source: RNAcentral